RNAcentral lists this ribosomal RNA (257 nucleotides) under uncultured bacterium. RNAcentral describes it as "partial 16S ribosomal RNA". It matches the Rfam family "Bacterial small subunit ribosomal RNA", at positions 524 to 776 of the family's 1533-position model. The record is from RNAcentral.
UACGUAGGGACCGAGCGUUGUCCGGAUUCAUUGGGCGUAAAGAGCUCGUAGGCGGCUUCGUAAGUCAGGUGUGAAACCUCCAGGCUCAACCUGGAGCCGCCACCUGAUACUGCGAUGGCUUGAGUCCAGUAGGGGCGCGCGGAAUUCCUGGUGUAGCGGUGAAAUGCGCAGAUAUCAGGAGGAACACCGGUGGCGAAGGCGGGAUCUCGUGGGCAGUGAACUGACGCUGAGAAGCGAAAGCGUGGGGAGCGAACAGG